This 433-nucleotide ribosomal RNA is filed under the name uncultured bacterium. Its description in RNAcentral is "partial 16S ribosomal RNA". It matches the Rfam family "Bacterial small subunit ribosomal RNA", at positions 29 to 507 of the family's 1533-position model. The record is from RNAcentral.
AACGAACGCUGGCGGCAUGCCUAACACAUGCAAGUCGAACGAGACCUUCGGGUCUAGUGGCGCACGGGUGCGUAACGCGUGGGAACCUGCCCUUAGGUUCGGAAUAACUCCCCGAAAGGGGUGCUAAUACCGGAUAAUGUCUUCGGACCAAAGAUUUAUCGCCUUUGGAUGGGCCCGCGUUGGAUUAGCUAGUUGGUAGGGUAAAAGUCUACCAAGGCGACGAUCCAUAGCUGGUCUGAGAGGAUGAUCAGCCACACUGGGACUGAGACACGGCCCAGACUCCUACGGGAGGCAGCAGUGGGGAAUAUUGGACAAUGGGCGAAAGCCUGAUCCAGCAAUGCCGCGUGAGUGAUGAAGGCCUUAGGGUUGUAAAGCUCUUUUACCCGGGAUGAUAAUGACAGUACCGGGAGAAUAAGCGCCGGCUAACUCCGUG